CACAAGACCAGCUCUCCUCUCCUUGUGCUGAACAUAAGAACAGCCCUGCUGGAUCAGGCACAAGGUCCAUCUAGUCCAGCAUCCUGUUUCACACAAUGGCCCACCAGAUGCCUUUGGGGAGACCACAGGCAAGAGCUGAAGGCUCGAGGCUCCAUAUUGAUGGGCUAAUAUUGACACAGGACUGGUUUGGACAACACCAUUCAUGAUACAGUACAUGUCUUACCUCUUCCAGACAUGCUGUUCAGCUCUGUAUAAUUGCAUGGGGGAUGGAUCAGCGAAACCACCUUUCACCAUUUACUGAAGGAACACUUUCUGGGACUGAAUUGUACAGCUGUAAUCAUUUCAUGCCUGCUUGGAGAACCCACAUAAUUUGGAAGCCUCAUAACAAGAAGACGGUACUGUGAAGAUCCUUGAAACCUUUUCAGCUUGACAUCAACCAAAUGGACCAUGUUUCUGUAAAACCACUGCUAACUGUGAAAUUUUAGCAAGAGGUAAUCCUGACUGCAUGCAUUUGGAAGGGAUUACUACAUGAAAGGGAGGGGAAAGGGUUGGUAUGUUGCAACCAGUCUCUUUCGCUAUACAAGCCAAGGUGGCAUCAGUACUUUAAAUGUUGCAAAAUGUCAGCCAAGUUAGCAGGUGUUUUUUGGUUCACUACUGGGGUUGGCAACAGAAGAAUACAAAAGAUGCAGGGAGGGGGAGGAUACAGUGAAGACUGGCGGGUUUUUAUGUAUGUGAAAGAAUACUAUGGAAUAGAUAUGCAAAAAUACGAUUUAGAUUUUUUUAAAAAAUAGUACUGCUGUAAUUCUUAACAAUAUCAUUUAAAGUAGUAGUCUUUGCUCCCUCUCUCUCUCCCAGUAGCAACUGCCAAUUGACAGCACUAUGGGGAAUGCAGGAAUGCUUGUCUAAAAACCAUUCAAAAGGAGUUUUAGAAGCCAUUAAAAAGAAAUAUAACACAA
Hemicordylus capensis (graceful crag lizard) is the source of this 956-nucleotide long non-coding RNA. RefSeq lists it as uncharacterized. The transcript is spliced from 3 exons. NCBI's taxonomy places the organism in Eukaryota, Metazoa, Chordata, Lepidosauria, Squamata, Cordylidae. The record is from RefSeq and is a predicted model, not a curated record.